GUUACACAGGGAAAGGUGCAAGUUACAACUUGCAGACCCUCAUUCUUUCUAAAAGCAUUAAGUGUUGUAUCUGCAUCGCUGUAGGUUCGGUGCAGCAUUGGAACAGCUGGCCUUUAUCGAAUUUCGUGUUGAUGUGGAGAUGCAGUUGUUGGUCUGUAGUGAACAAGAUCUCGUGGUUUCUUCAGCAUGUUGGCUGCACAGCAUCCUAGGCAGAAGCAGUAACUUCUUCCAAAACGUUCAGUCCAAUUUGUACUCACUGGAUAGUCAAGGGCAAAUGGUAUAUUGGCCUUCAUAGUGAGAGGAUUCGAGUACAGGACCAGAGUGGAC
This is a long non-coding RNA of Hemiscyllium ocellatum (epaulette shark), 327 nucleotides long. RefSeq lists it as uncharacterized. The transcript has 3 exons. The record is from RefSeq and is a predicted model, not a curated record. Lineage: Eukaryota; Metazoa; Chordata; Chondrichthyes; Orectolobiformes; Hemiscylliidae.